GCCAGUGGUCCGUCAACUGAGAGUCGGGUUCUGCUCAAACUUGGCAACCGAUCGCUGCAAUUAUGGCCAGUGUGUGGGCUGUCACCAGAACACCUUGAUGACGGCAUAUAUAGCCACUGCUGGGGCUGAUUGGUUGUAUAACCGAGGCCUCUGUGGCUGUGGGACAAAUGCUUUAUCUCCCUUUGUUUUACUUCGGCGGCACAUAAAUCUUGAACUUGCAUUUACAUUCUGUGAGCCCAGCACCCUUGCGACCUUUGGAAAUGCAGGGUGUACGGAAAAUUAGGUUUAAGUGGACGAAAUAUUGUUUCGAGACGUGAGAGAAUUCCCAUCAAGGAGAGCGGAUUCCCCCAGUUAUCACUUUUCAGCAUUAAAGAUAUUUACCAUAAAUAAACUAUAUGUUA
Long non-coding RNA from Drosophila biarmipes, 401 nucleotides. RefSeq lists it as uncharacterized. The transcript is spliced from 2 exons. NCBI's taxonomy places the organism in Eukaryota, Metazoa, Arthropoda, Insecta, Diptera, Drosophilidae. The record is from RefSeq and is a predicted model, not a curated record.